AUGACAUGCCCGCCGGCGCUCCAUCCUCCCCUCUUCUCCAUCUUUCCCCUAGCCAUCUCCCUCCUCCCUCCCUGUUUCGCCCCCACCCCUACUCGGAUCUGGUCUGGAAUUUGGCGCCGGCGACUUGGAGGCGGAGGACACUCGAGCGCUCCUUCUGGAUCGGGUCAACACGGCUUCGCCGCUCGAUGCGGAACGACGGGGGCGGCUGGAUCGGCGGCGGCGGCUGGAGCAUGCAGAACGACGACGGCGGCUGGAGUUGGGGAUUGCCAUCCCUGUGAGGAGCGCGUCUCGCCGGCCGCGGCUUCACUGGGAGGAGCGCAGCUGCGUAGUCCGUCGCUCGCACCGCUGCUUCGCCGGUUAGGAGCAUCAGCUACGGCGCUUGCCAUCCCCGUGGUCACCGCUGCUGCUGCAAACGCUGGUGAUGGAGAAUCGCUCCUUGGUUUUUGUUGCUGCCAGAUCCUCAAUCGCUACCUCGAUCUUGCCAUCACCAGCCCAUCAAGGGCUCCAAUAUCCUCAGCGCUGCCGUAUAGAGACACUAUGCGAUGCUAG
RNAcentral lists this ribosomal RNA (549 nucleotides) under Triticum aestivum (bread wheat). RNAcentral describes it as "partial small subunit ribosomal RNA". Lineage: Eukaryota; Viridiplantae; Streptophyta; Magnoliopsida; Poales; Poaceae. The record is from RNAcentral.